RNAcentral lists this long non-coding RNA (342 nucleotides) under Mytilus galloprovincialis (Mediterranean mussel). The record is from RNAcentral. Lineage: Eukaryota; Metazoa; Mollusca; Bivalvia; Mytilida; Mytilidae.
GCACCGUUUUAAUGUUUCAACUAGGACUAAUACACUAAUUCAAUAGUCCCCGGUUUCAACAAAGAUCGGAACUCCGGCCUUCAAUUAAUUUUACAAAUUGCACCAAAAUACAGAAAACAUGAAUCCAAAUUAUUUUAGCGAUAACAUCUGGUAUUGGUUUUCACUGAAGUUAUCUUUACAGACCAGCGGGUGUUCAACCCCAUAAUUGUGAGUCUUAUCGCACAUGUCAAAUUAUUUAGUAACCUCAUGUGGAGCGAGGAUGGAUUAUCGUCCUUGUCGAUACAAAUAAUUGUUAUCAAAUUGAGUUAUCUCCCUUAAACCGGACAGAUUCUUGGCAAUGUA